CCUACGGGAGGCAGCAGUGAGGAAUAUUGGUCAAUGGACGAGAGUCUGAACCAGCCAAGUAGCGUGAAGGAUGACUGCCCUAUGGGUUGUAAACUUCUUUUAUAAAGGAAUAAAACGAGGCACGUGUGCCUUUUUGUAUGUACUUUAUGAAUAAGGAUCGGCUAACUCCGUGCCAGCAGCCGCGGUAAUACGGAGGAUCCGAGCGUUAUCCGGAUUUAUUGGGUUUAAAGGGAGCGUAGGUGGGGUGUUAAGUCAGUUGUGAAAGUUUGCGGCUCAACCGUAAAAUUGCAAUUGAUACUGGCAGUCUUGAGUACAGUUGAGGUAGGCGGAAUGCGUGGUGUAGCGGUGAAAUGCUGAGAUAUCACGAAGAACCCCGAUUGCGAAGGCAGCUUACUAAGCUGUGACUGACAUUGAUGCACGAAAGUGUGGGUAUCAAACAGGAUUAGAUACCCCUGUAGUC
RNAcentral lists this ribosomal RNA (460 nucleotides) under uncultured bacterium. Its description in RNAcentral is "partial 16S ribosomal RNA". It matches the Rfam family "Bacterial small subunit ribosomal RNA", at positions 338 to 795 of the family's 1533-position model. The record is from RNAcentral.